RNAcentral lists this ribosomal RNA (497 nucleotides) under uncultured bacterium. RNAcentral describes it as "partial 16S ribosomal RNA". It matches the Rfam family "Bacterial small subunit ribosomal RNA", at positions 28 to 507 of the family's 1533-position model. The record is from RNAcentral.
GAUGAACGCUGGCGGCGUGCCUAAUACAUGCAAGUCGAGCGAACAGGCGAGGAGCUUGCUCCUCUGACGUUAGCGGCGGACGGGUGAGUAACACGUGGAUAACCUACCUAUAAGACUGGGAUAACUUCGGGAAACCGGAGCUAAUACCGGAUAAUAUAUUGAACCGCAUGGUUCAAUAGUGAAAGACGGUUUUGCUGUCACUUAUAGAUGGAUCCGCGCCGCAUUAGCUAGUUGGUAAGGUAACGGCUUACCAAGGCAACGAUGCGUAGCCGACCUGAGAGGGUGAUCGGCCACACUGGAACUGAGACACGGUCCAGACUCCUACGGGAGGCAGCAGUAGGGAAUCGGCCGCAAUGGGCGAGAGCCUGACGGAGCGACGCCGCGUGAGUGAUGAAGGUCUUCGGAUCGUAAAACUCUGUUAUUAGGGAAGAACAAAUGUGUAAGUAACUAUGCACGUCUUGACGGUACCUAAUCAGAAAGCCACGGCUAACUACGUG